GAUGAACGCUGGCGGCGUGCUUAACACAUGCAAGUCGAACGGAAAGGCCCCUGCUUGCUGGGGUACUCGAGUGGCGAACGGGUGAGUAACACGUGGGUGAUCUGCCCUUCACUUCGGGAUAAGCCUGGGAAACUGGGUCUAAUACCGGAUAGGACGACGGUCUGCAUGCUAUUGUGGAAAGUUUUUUCGGUGUGGGAUGGGCUCGCGGCCUAUCAGCUUGUUGGUGGGGUAUUGGCUUACCAAGGCGUCGACGGGUAGCCGGCCUGAGAGGGUGUACGGCCACAUUGGGACUGAGAUACGGCCCAGACUCCUACGGGAGGCAGCAGUGGGGAAUAUUGCACAAUGGGCGGAAGCCUGAUGCAGCAACGCCGCGUGGGGGAUGACGGCCUUCGGGUUGUAAACUCCUUUCGCUAGUGACGAAGCGCGAGUGACGGUAACUGGAGAAGAAGCACCGGCUAACUACGUG
RNAcentral lists this ribosomal RNA (466 nucleotides) under uncultured bacterium. RNAcentral describes it as "partial 16S ribosomal RNA". It matches the Rfam family "Bacterial small subunit ribosomal RNA", at positions 28 to 507 of the family's 1533-position model. The record is from RNAcentral.